UAGGGAAUCUUCGGCAAUGGGGGGAACCCUGACCGAGCAACGCCGCGUGAGUGAAGAAGGUUUUCGGAUCGUAAAGCUCAGUUGUUAAGGAAGAACGAGUGUGAGAAUGGAAAGUUCAUGCUGUGACGGUACUUAACCAGAAAGGGACGGCUAACUACGUGCCAGCAGCCGCGGUAAUACGUAGGUCCCGAGCGUUGUCCGGAUUUAUUGGGCGUAAAGCGAGCGCAGGCGGUUAGAAAAGUCUGAAGUGAAAGGCAGUGGCUCAACCAUUGUAGGCUUUGGAAACUGUUUAACUUGAGCGCAGAAGGGGAGAGUGGAAUUCCAUGUGUAGCGGUGAAAUGCGUAGAUAUAUGGAGGAACACCGGUGGCGAAAGCGGCUCUCUGGUCUGUAACUGACGCUGAGGCUCGAAAGCGUGGGGAGCGAACAGG
Molecule: ribosomal RNA, 429 nt
Filed under: Verrucomicrobiota bacterium
Lineage: Bacteria; Pseudomonadati; Verrucomicrobiota
Description: Verrucomicrobia bacterium partial 16S ribosomal RNA
Rfam family: Bacterial small subunit ribosomal RNA
Source: RNAcentral